GUGGUGGUGUAGUGGUAGAGCACGCGUCCCUGGCAAAUGACAUGCGGGUUCGAUUCCCGCCCGAGGCC
This is a non-coding RNA of Parelaphostrongylus tenuis, 68 nucleotides long. The record is from the annotation of a GenBank genome assembly. NCBI's taxonomy places the organism in Eukaryota, Metazoa, Nematoda, Chromadorea, Rhabditida, Metastrongylidae.